Molecule: ribosomal RNA, 388 nt
Filed under: uncultured bacterium
Lineage: Bacteria
Description: bacterial SSU rRNA
Rfam family: Bacterial small subunit ribosomal RNA
Source: RNAcentral
GACGAACGCUGGCGGCGUGCUUAACACAUGCAAGUCGAGCGGUAAGGCCCUUUUGGGGGUACACGAGCGGCGAACGGGUGAGUAACACGUGGGUGACCUGCCCUCAGCUCUGGGAUAAGCCUGGGAAACUGGGUCUAAUACUGGAUAUGACCUUUCCUCGCAUGGGGGUUGGGUGGAAAGUUUUUCGGCUGGGGAUGGGCCCGCGGCCUAUCAGCUUGUUGGUGGGGUGAUGGCCUACCAAGGCGACGACGGGUAGCCGGCCUGAGAGGGCGACCGGCCACACUGGGACUGAGACACGGCCCAGACUCCUACGGGAGGCAGCAGUGGGGGAAUAUUGCGCAAUGGGCGGAAGCCUGACGCAGCGACGCCGCGUGGGGGAUGACGGCCU